UAUUUCUAUCUGCAUUGUUUAACUCUGUGUACAAAACAUAAUAGUGACUUUGAUGUCCCUGUAUUUCCCACAUAUUAGUGCCCCCGUGAAAGCUUUCAAAUAAAAACCGACCUAAAUAAUGUCCACUUAAAAAAAAAGUAGGGAGACCCAAAGGUAUAUAAUCACUUCACUCCAAUUUUGAUAGGUUUUUCAAAACAACUUGUAGGUAGAAAAAACAACUACUACUACUCCUUUUUCCUUCCCCUCCUCCUCCUCUUCCUCCUCCUCCUCCCCCUUCCUCCCCCCACCCCCACCCCAGUCGUCAUCUUGGUACAGGCUCUUGCUAUGUAUCUCUAGCUAGCCUAAAACUGGUUUUGUAGACCAGGCUGGCCUUGAAGUCCCAGGGAUCCUGUCUGUGCCUCUCACAUGUGUUAAGACUAAAGGCAUGUGCCACCAAACCCAGCUAAAAUAUAUUUAUAUUUUAAAGAAUUAAAAGUCCACCAUUUGCUAUUCGCCUCAUUGUCAGAGCUGCUGUUGAAUUUAUGUAAAAAUAUGACGUCUACUUGGAACUCUAGUUUAAAAAAUCCCGUUGACGAGAGUGUAGUUCUUAUAAGAUCUUUAAACAUAACUAUAAGGAUAAGCGCUGACACUCGGUUUCUAAAUGAAGAAGUCAUUUACCUUGCUACUCUAGUGUGAUUAAAGAGCCAAGGCAUCUUCUGAAUGUUAAGAGGUAAGUCAAGUCACGAAAGCCAUGUGCUGGAGGCUCACCUCUGUCCACAAGCUGUACCCUUAUCAGCUGCAGAGGGGCGUUUACAGAGUCUCUGGAAUAGGAAGCACAAUGCUAAACCCUCAUGUAACCUAGAGGGUUUUUAAUAUAUUCUGUGGAACUGACAAAUCAUAUUCAAUACAUACCAUAAAUUAAAUAUUUUCUAAAAAAAAAUCUUGCAUUUGUUUAAAGUAAAAUAAAUGUCAUGUUAGACUUGCCCAAACUUUAAUGAUAGUGGAAGUCUCACAUAACCUUUGUGGUUUUGAUCACUGACACAGAAGUCUAGACUCUGUGUGUGUGUGUGUGUGUGUGUGUGUGUGUGUGUGUGUGUGUUAAGAUUUUUAAAAGGGUUAAGAUUUGCUUUCUCAAAAUGUUAAAAUAUAAUGAUUUUUCAAUCACAAAACAGCUUUUAUUUUAUUUAGUAUUUUUCUGCUGACUUAGGUGGUACAGUUACUGGAGCUUAAUUAUUUGCUUUAACUUACAAGACUGCUAAGCUGUGGAUACGGAUCUUCUGGGUUUCUUUCCCUCCUGAGUUGUAAAGAACUUUAGUAUUUGUCAAGACAGUGAAGAUUAUGUUGUAACCAGUCAUCUGGGUAGAUGCUGAUUUUCCUGCCUACCUCAUCACCAAUUUCUUGAGUGACAUAUAAGUAAAAGGAACACAUUAAAUUUGAAACAAGAGACUGUUGUGAAACAAGGCAAGAUCACAGUCACAUCUUAGCAACCUUGUUGCGUUGUAAAAGUUGCCAUCACAGGUAGUUCUGGCGCUAACCUGGAAACAUUGUGUAACCUUGAUUCUUUUACUGUAAAUACAUCUCCAUCAAUCUGGAUGAGACUAAUCUGUGGAUGGAAUUAUUUAGGUAUUUUCUGAACUGCAAUCAGCAUUUCUAGUUCAAGGCACAGUUGACCCAAUCCAUUGUUCUGUUUGAUCUGCAGUUGUUCCGUUUUGUUUUUAAGACAGGGUCUUCUUAUGUAGCUCUGGUUGUCCAAAACUCACAGAGAUCCUGUCUCUCUGUUUCCUGAGUGUUAGGAAAUAAAAAUGUGCAAUACAAUCCCCAGCCUCUACAUGUGUUUUCUGAGACAGGGUUUCACUAGCUAGCCCAGGCUGUCCUCAAACACAUUAUGUAGCUAAGGAUGGUUCACACCUAUGAUGUUCCUGCCCCAGUCACCCGAGUGUUAGAAUUACAAGCAUGAAUCACAGUAAUGACUACAUCUUUCCUCUUGAUAACUCUUUUUGCUUAUUUGAUCUUGGUUUCUGUGGUAUCAUCUGCCUUUCUUCAAGUGUUCAUAAAGUGUUGAGCUUGAUGAAGAGACUGGAUAGAGAGUAUCAGCAGGAUAUUCUUGCCCAGAUUGUACAUAAAACAAAUUCAUUGAGUCUUAAAACAACCUCUAAGAAAUCACGGUGUGGAAUAUCUAGUUUAAGCACUAACAACAACAUAGAUGCUGCUAAAAUAACUUGGAGCUUGUAAAACUCAGAGGUAAGGUGAGAGUAAAUGGUUUAGUAGGCAUGUGAUGGUUUUAUCCAAUACCACUGUUGAGAUUUUCUGGAAAACAGAAGAAAAAUAUGGUGGAAGUUGAAUAUGUUCAGGUAUUGUUUCAGCCAUACAUCUAAAAAUAGCAGAAGUACAAAAUGAAACUUAAAACUCAUGAGUUGGUGCCUGAGGCUCAGGCCAUCCUAUCUCUGCUGCUAGACCAAUACUAAAAAGACCAAGUAGAGGGCAAAGAGGAAGAAGAAUAAAAAUAACUGUAAGAAAUUAUAAAAGUUAGAAGUUUAUGACCAUUAGUACUUGUUUCUGAGUUUUCAGUAGUUAUUUCAUAACUAAUAACUGUGUUCUUUGUGGAAAAUGUAAUAGUUGCAUACAUUUUGGACAGGUAUGUUUAUGUAUGCCAUGGUGGGAUAAAAGCAUUUUCUGCUCUUUUGUUUGUUUGUGGCUCAUGUCAUUUGUGGGUAUGUCACCUUAUCAUCCAACAGAUUUUGUCACUUUACCAGUGAAAAUUUGAAUUUUUAAUCUAAUUUUUAAACAAAAGAGUACAAGGUAUUCAUUUAUCCAAAAUAUUAAAUGUAUAAUGUGAUAAGUCAGUCUUAGAAUUCUUCAAGGUUUUAGAGUUGUCAAAAGCAAGAAUAUAUUUUGGAAAGCUUUUAGAAAUACUCUAUUUUCCUAUCAUUCUGAAUUUGCCUCCCUUCAGCUUUAUUAAAUAUAUAAGUUUAUUAUUUUACACUGAAACCGCAUGGUUUUAUGUGCUUGUCUUUUAUACGAGUGUAAUGCCCUCUUUUCAGCUCUUUAUAAGUGAUUACAUUACAGUUAAGACAUUCUCUGUUACUUUUAAAAUCAAAUUAUUUAUGGAAAUCUCACCGGGGUAUGAAAAAAAUGACAAUGAAAUAUAAAAGGCUUGUGCAAUAUUCUUUUUACAUCUGAAUACAAUAUUCAUACAAUUAAAAAAUUAAAAUA
RNAcentral lists this long non-coding RNA (3192 nucleotides) under Mus musculus (house mouse). Its description in RNAcentral is "myolinc short isoform". Lineage: Eukaryota; Metazoa; Chordata; Mammalia; Rodentia; Muridae. The record is from RNAcentral.